RNAcentral lists this ribosomal RNA (491 nucleotides) under uncultured bacterium. RNAcentral's name for it is "bacterial SSU rRNA". It matches the Rfam family "Bacterial small subunit ribosomal RNA", at positions 15 to 507 of the family's 1533-position model. The record is from RNAcentral.
GAUCCUGGCUCAGGAUGAACGCUAGCGGGAGGCCUAACACAUGCAAGCCGAGCGGUAGAGAUUCUUCGGAAUCUUGAGAGCGGCGUACGGGUGCGGAACACGUGUGCAACCUACCUUUAUCUGGAGGAUAGCCUUUCGAAAGGAAGAUUAAUACUCCAUAAUAUAUUGAUUGGCAUCAAUUGAUAUUGAAAGCUCCGGCGGAUAGAGAUGGGCACGCGCAAGAUUAGUUAGUUGGUGAGGUAACGGCUCACCAAGACGAUGAUCUUUAGGGGCCUGAGAGGGUGAUCCCCCACACUGGUACUGAGACACGGACCAGACUCCUGCGGGAGGCAGCAGUGAGGAAUAUUGGUCAAUGGGUGCAAGCCUGAACCAGCCAUCCCGCGUGAAGGACGACUGCCCUAUGGGUUGUAAACUUCUUUUGUAUAGGGAUAAACCUACCCUCGUGAGGGCAGCUGAAGGUACUAUACGAAUAAGCACCGGCUAACUCCGUG